This 65-nucleotide transfer RNA is filed under the name Mycobacterium avium. It matches the Rfam family "tRNA", at positions 5 to 66 of the family's 71-position model. Rfam says of the family: Transfer RNA (tRNA) molecules are approximately 80 nucleotides in length. Their secondary structure includes four short double-helical elements and three loops (D, anti-codon, and T loops). The record is from RNAcentral. RNAcentral also lists the same sequence under 11 other names. Lineage: Bacteria; Bacillati; Actinomycetota; Actinomycetes; Mycobacteriales; Mycobacteriaceae.
CCGUAGCUCAACGGAUAGAGCAUCUGACUACGGAUCAGAAGGUUAGGGGUUCGAAUCCCUUCGGG